Molecule: ribosomal RNA, 466 nt
Filed under: uncultured bacterium
Lineage: Bacteria
Description: partial 16S ribosomal RNA
Rfam family: Bacterial small subunit ribosomal RNA
Source: RNAcentral
ACGAACGCUGGCGGCGUGCUUAACACAUGCAAGUCGAACGGAAAGGCCCUGCUUUUGUGGGGUGCUCGAGUGGCGAACGGGUGAGUAACACGUGAGUAACCUGCCCUUGACUUUGGGAUAACUUCAGGAAACUGGGGCUAAUACCGGAUAGGAGCUCCUGCUGCAUGGUGGGGGUUGGAAAGUUUCGGCGGUUGGGGAUGGACUCGCGGCUUAUCAGCUUGUUGGUGGGGUAGUGGCUUACCAAGGCUUUGACGGGUAGCCGGCCUGAGAGGGUGACCGGCACAUUGGGACUGAGAUACGGCCCAGACUCCUACGGGAGGCAGCAGUGGGGAAUAUUGCACAAUGGGCGGAAGCCUGAUGCAGCAACGCCGCGUGCGGGAUGACGGCCUUCGGGUUGUAAACCGCUUUCGCCUGUGACGAAGCGUGAGUGACGGUAAUGGGUAAAGAAGCACCGGCUAACUACGUG